GGAGGGAAAGUGGGCGGGGCCUGGGUGGGCGGUGGUGGCGCUCGAGGGCGGCUGCAGGACCGCGGCCGGACGGUAGAGGCCUCCCUUCCGAGGCGGCGGCUCGGACGUCGAGCGCCGGGGCUCUGCUCGCCGGCUCGUCCUUCCCGGCGCGGUCCGGCACGGCCGGGCCCAGCGCGGCCCAUACCCGCCUGCUCUCCUCCCCCUGCAGGCGGCAGCGCCCGUUUUCUGAGGUCCUUUCAAGCACGGAUCGCAGUGCCCAGUGGUCAAUACCCUUACUUUUAUCCAGUGUCUGCUUCAUUUAAACUUAAUCAACUCCAUCAAUGAACUGGAACAGGGAAACGUCCCUGCGGUCCAAUUUCCUGUCCCUUACUUUACCUGGUCUUUUGCUGCCCCACUGCAACACCCUCGGUAAGUUGAUGGAUGGUAUGUUCUAAAGCAGGGAAAUGACACCCCAUUGACUUUCUCUUCAGGACCUUCAAUGAAAGAGAGGUUUUCCACAUACUUUAAAAUAAAAGUCAACUUCCUUUGCUGGAAACUUCUCUUCUCCCACAGAAAAGGGACAUUCUGAGGUUGGGCAGAGUUCCCAGCUUUAGGUGAAAUUCCAGAGCCUAGGGAGAGAGGUUUUGGGACCUGCUGGAGAACUCCCAGGAAAUGAAUGCUCUUAGUGAUAGAAUUCCACCUGUGUAGGUUACAGUCCCAGCAGCAAUCAGGCAAGAUAACUACAUCCCCCUCUUCCA
RNAcentral lists this long non-coding RNA (737 nucleotides) under Chinchilla lanigera (long-tailed chinchilla). Its description in RNAcentral is "lncRNA (ENSCLAG00000024414.1)". The record is from RNAcentral. Lineage: Eukaryota; Metazoa; Chordata; Mammalia; Rodentia; Chinchillidae.